RNAcentral lists this long non-coding RNA (449 nucleotides) under Salvia miltiorrhiza (redroot sage). Its description in RNAcentral is "long non-coding RNA (SMIL_LNC012580)". The record is from RNAcentral. Lineage: Eukaryota; Viridiplantae; Streptophyta; Magnoliopsida; Lamiales; Lamiaceae.
AUCCUAGUUCACCCCCUUUGAGCCUUAUUUUUCCAUAUUCUUUGAUUUAGCUAUGGGUGGGAGCUUGGAGAUUAUUUGAUAGGAGAUAAUUGGGUUGUGGAGAUAAAUGAUCAUGAGUUAUGUUUUGUGGUUUUAAAUUGAAAAUCCUAGUACCCUACAAGUUGUUGAAAAAAAAAGAAAAAAGAGAAAGAAAAGAAAGUAAAAGAAAAGUGAGAAAAUAAUUGAAAAAAAAUGGGUACAUAGGAUGCAUUAGAAAGUCAUAAUGUCAUGAGAAAUAAUUGUUGUGUUGUGGUGGAUUAUAUAUUGAAAAAUUUGGUUUUGUGGAAGGUGGAGGAUAGAAUUGAGUAAGAAUGCUAUAAGGUUGGUGAUGAUGUUACUUUGAUUCGCAUCUUUUAGUCACUUAGCCAAAUAUAUCCUACCUUGCCAAAGAGCCUACAUUACAACCCUCA